AACGAACGCUGGCGGCAGGCUUAACACAUGCAAGUCGAGCGCCUCGCAAGAGGAGCGGCAGACGGGUGAGUAACGCGUGGGAACGUACCCUUAUCUUCGGAAUAGCUCUGGGAAACUGGAAGUAAUACCGAAUGUGCCCUUAGGGGGAAAGAUUUAUCGGAUAAGGAUCGGCCCGCGUUGGAUUAGCUAGUUGGUGGGGUAAAGGCCUACCAAGGCGACGAUCCAUAGCUGGUCUGAGAGGAUGAUCAGCCACAUUGGGACUGAGACACGGCCCAAACUCCUACGGGAAGCAGCAGUGGGGAAUAUUGGACAAUGGGCGCAAGCCUGAUCCAGCCAUGCCGCGUGAGUGAUGAAGGCCUUAGGGUUGUAUAGCUCUUUCACCGGAGAAGAUAAUGACGGUAUCCGGAGAAGAAGCCCCGGCUAACUUCGUG
RNAcentral lists this ribosomal RNA (431 nucleotides) under uncultured bacterium. Its description in RNAcentral is "partial 16S ribosomal RNA". It matches the Rfam family "Bacterial small subunit ribosomal RNA", at positions 29 to 507 of the family's 1533-position model. The record is from RNAcentral.